UCAUUGCAACAUAUUUUCAUACUUUUUCUAAUAAAUCUGCCUUUCUUUACCUGCAACUGUCUCAGUAAAUUCUUCUUAGUACUCUCGUCGCCAGCUCUAAAUAGUGGCUAAUCGCCUGAGACAGGAAUGAAACCAGAGAGGCAGGAACAGGAGGGAAACAAGGCCAGUGGAGUCAAGGAAACCAGGGAAAGUCAAGUUUUAAGAAGGGGGCCGGGCACGGUGUCUCACGCCUAUAAUCCCAGCAUUUUGGAAGGCCAAGGGAGGCGGAUCACCAGAGGUCUGGAGUAUGAGACCAGCCUUGCCUAACAUGGUGAAACCCCGUCUCUACUAAAAAUACAAAAAUCAGCCGGGCAUUGUGGUGGACACCUGUAAUCUCAGCUACUCUGGAGGCUGAGGCAGGAGAAUUGCUUGAACCCAGGAGGCAGAGAUUGCAGUGAACCGAGAUUAUGCCAUUGCACUCCAGCCUGGGCAACAAGAGCAAAAUUCCAUCUCAAAAAAAAAAAAAAAAAAAGAAGAAGAAGAAGAAGAAGAAGAAGAAAGGGGUGGUCAACUAUGUCCAGUGGUGCCGAGAAAUCCAUUAAGGAGGAGACUGAUAUGGCUCAUUGGAUUUGGAGACAUGGUAUGCUCUCAGCAAAGGAAAUCCCAUUGGGAUGGUUGGAUGGAAACUGUAUUGGGAAGAGUUAUAGAGUGUCUGGGGAGUGAGGAGUUGGAGAUGCAGUGCCAAGAAAACAGAGAAUAAAAGAAUCCGCAGAAGAGACCUAAAGAAGUUGCUUAGUCCUCCCCCGCGGGAAGGCUGUACCUCAAAAAUGCCACAUUGGAGAGAUGUCCAGUUCUCCUAGGUUUCCAAGGAAACUCUGUCCAAGUCGUGGAUAUGUCAUUGGUUUGGUACCCUCUUUAUUCACUGGUCUGCUCCGUCUCAUACCACAAUGGUAAACCCAGAGAGAUGGACCAACCUAGUUGGCCUGGUGAUCAGGUUGCUACUACUGAAGUCCCUCUCCUGCUCCUGAAUUCAACUCCAUCUGGAAACAUCUCCCUGACCCAGAGGAAGGAAGGGCUGCACAGAUGUCUGUCAGUGCAGUUCCAAGCCCCCCAGGGCCACCUGAAAAAAACAAGUGUGAUGUGUGAUGCUGACCUGGAGUGAGAAGGAAAACAAGCUUUGACUCCACUUGACCCUGAAGGAAGGAAGCA
Long non-coding RNA from Pongo pygmaeus (Bornean orangutan), 1188 nucleotides. RefSeq lists it as uncharacterized. The record is from RefSeq and is a predicted model, not a curated record. Lineage: Eukaryota; Metazoa; Chordata; Mammalia; Primates; Hominidae. The transcript is spliced from 4 exons.